Coffea eugenioides is the source of this 546-nucleotide long non-coding RNA. RefSeq lists it as uncharacterized. Lineage: Eukaryota; Viridiplantae; Streptophyta; Magnoliopsida; Gentianales; Rubiaceae. The transcript has 3 exons. The record is from RefSeq and is a predicted model, not a curated record.
GAGAUGGAUGAGCAUUUUCAAAAGCUAACGAAGGGAACACCUCCAGGAACAAAGCAAGGAACCACAGUUCAGAAAAUUUACAGAGGACUAGAGAGUGAACCAGACUUGCAAUGCAGGAUCCUAAGGUGAUGUCAUUGGGAAAAACGAUGCAAGAAGUUAAACGUUGCAGGAGACCUGCCUCUAUGAGUGGCAAAAUCCAAAUUACAGAAGCUUGAAGAAGGGGUGUUCUUGGUGAGAAGGAGUUUCAGUGGAACUCAUAAGCUUCUGGAUGAAAAGCUUGAGGAAAGAGUAGGUACACAAAGCAUUGAAGAAAGGAAAAAAACACCAAGACCAAAGAGUAGCAAGAGAGCACCGAAGUAUCUAGAAAAAAGGAGGAAGAUCACAGAGUUCAUUUCCGCCAAAUGAGCUGAUCUUGUAAAAGCUUGUCCAGAAGAAUUUUUUUUUAUCUUUGAUCUUAUUUUGCGAUUGAAAACUUUCUUUGACUUGAUGAUAGUAAAUCACAUUUGUUUGAGGGCUAUUGCAUAUAAUAUCAUUAGUUUAAUCUUA